UAGAUCCACUUGUGAGAGCACACGUGUUUCUUAUGUUGACAGCGCUGGCUCGGGAGCGGAAAGGGAAGGCAGAGAUCUUCACAAGUGAGGAUGUCAGGGAAAGCACUGGCGCACUGGAAGUAGAGAGUAUGGUCCAGACGGCGCAGUAAGCAGCAGUCUUGACUAUUUCUUCAACUAAAAAGGAAAGCAUCACGCAUGUUGCAACUCGUUUCAAAAAUAAAGGCUGAUCCAAGACCAAGUGCCUCGAGGAUAACAAGGACUUCCAGCUCCGCCACAUUCCAAGAUGUUAGGGCAAACUAUAUUUAACUUGAAACAGGUGACCAUGAUGUAAAAUGAUUACACAAUGCAAAACAACAAAAUAGUGUAUAUAGUAAUUACUAUUGUCACACAAUCUGCACAAUCACACGUCUGGCUCACAGUUCUGAGGACUGGGGUUCAAUCCCCAAGCCCCGCCUGUGUGGAGUUUGCAUAUUCUCCCCGUGCCUGCGUGGGUUUUCUCCGGGCACUCCGGUUUCCUCCCACAUCCCAAAAACAUGCAUGGUAGGUGAAUUGAAGACACUAAAUUGCCCGUAGGUGUGAAUGUGAGUGCGAAUGGUUGUUUGAGUCUAUGUGCCCUGCGAUUGGCUGGCAACUGGAUCAGGGUGUUCCCCGCCUCCUGCCCGAUGAUAGCUGGGAUAGGCUCCAGCACUCCCGCGACCCUUGUGAGGAUAAGCGGCUCAGAAAAUGGAUGGAUGGAUAUACAACUAAGAAACGCGCAGUGAGCUCACAACAUGGCUUGAGUUAAACGUCAGUGGCUGUUUUAUAAC
Phycodurus eques (leafy seadragon) is the source of this 806-nucleotide long non-coding RNA. RefSeq lists it as uncharacterized. The record is from RefSeq and is a predicted model, not a curated record. The transcript has 3 exons. Lineage: Eukaryota; Metazoa; Chordata; Actinopteri; Syngnathiformes; Syngnathidae.